Molecule: long non-coding RNA, 206 nt
Filed under: Elaeis guineensis (African oil palm)
Lineage: Eukaryota; Viridiplantae; Streptophyta; Magnoliopsida; Arecales; Arecaceae
Description: long non-coding RNA (EGUI_LNC035052)
Source: RNAcentral
GUGUGCUAUUUGUGAUUGAGAUUAAUCAUGGAAAGUAGUGGGUUGAAGAUUGGAUUUGAGAGGUUUGAUGGAAAAGGGAGAAUUUCAUCAUGUGAAAGAUGAGGGUGGAGGAUCUGCUAGUAUAAAUGGGAUUAGAUUCGACCUUGGAGGAUACGCUAGAGGGGAUGAAUGAUAAGUAGUGGGUGCCUUGGAGAAAAGAGCAUGUG